AUUGAACGCUGGCGGCAGGCCUAACACAUGCAAGUCGAGCGGAUGAAGGGAGCUUGCUCCUGGAUUCAGCGGCGGACGGGUGAGUAAUGCCUAGGAAUCUGCCUGGUAGUGGGGGAUAACGUCCGGAAACGGGCGCUAAUACCGCAUACGUCCUGAGGGAGAAAGUGGGGGAUCUUCGGACCUCACGCUAUCAGAUGAGCCUAGGUCGGAUUAGCUAAUUGGUGGGGUAAAGGCCUACCAAGGCGACGAUCCGUAACUGGUCUGAGAGGAUGAUCAGUCACACUGGAACUGAGACACGGUCCAGACUCCUACGGGAGGCAGCAGUGGGGAAUAUUGGACAAUGGGCGAAAGCCUGAUCCAGCCAUGCCGCGUGUGUGAAGAAGGUCUUCGGAUUGUAAAGCGCUUUAAGUUGGGAGGAAGGGCAGUAAGUUAAUACCUUGCUGUUUUGACGUUACCAACAGAAUAAGCACCGGCUAACUUCGUG
Molecule: ribosomal RNA, 484 nt
Filed under: uncultured bacterium
Lineage: Bacteria
Description: partial 16S ribosomal RNA
Rfam family: Bacterial small subunit ribosomal RNA
Source: RNAcentral